AAUUUAUUUAUUAUUAUUAUUUAUUAAUUUUAUUUGUGUAUUAAAAAAAGUAAUUUUUAUUUUAUUAAUAAAUAUGAAUAAAUAAAUUUAAUUAUAGUUAAUUUGUAUUGUGAAAGAUUUAUUUUAUUUAAUUCAAAGAAAAAUUUAGUUUUUGUACCUUGUGUAUCAGGGUUUAUUAAAAAAUUUUUAUUAAUUUUAGAUUUCUCGAACUUAAAAGAUUUAUAUUAAUAUAAUUUUUAUUGUUGAAUAAAUAUUAUUCAUAUUAAUAUAGAAGUGAAACAUUAUUCGAUUUUAAAUAUAUCUAGUUUUUAAAGAAAAAAAUUUAAUUUUAUUUUUAUAUAAUAUAAGUUUAAAUUAAUAAAUUUAUAUUAAUAAAAUUUUAUAUUUCAUGGGAUGAGCUUUGAAGUAAACAAAUAAAAAUUAUAUUGUAUUGUUUAAUAAGUAGAAUUAUAAGUUUUUAUCUUUAAUAGUGUUUUAUAACUAUUUAAAUUAAAAAUAGUAUUUAUAUAUUUGUAUAAAUUUUAUGUAUUUUAUUUAAAUAUAAAUUUUAAUAAAAAAAAUUUAGUAAUAAUGAUAAAAUUAGUAUAAUAAUUUGUUUUUAUAAAUUUAAUAUUUUAGGUUUUAUAAAGGAAUUCGGCAAAUAUAUUUUUCACCUGUUUAUCAAAAACAUGGCUUUUUGAAUUUAAUUUAAGGUCUAGCCUGCUCAAUGAAUUUUAAAUAGCCGCAGUACCCUGACUGUGCAAAGGUAGCAUAAUCAUUAGUUUUUUAAUUGAAAGCUGGAAUGAAAGGUUGAAUGAGAAAAUAGCUGUCUCUGUAAAAAUUUUAUAGAAUUUUAUUUUUAAGUUAAAAAGCUUAAAUUUUAAUAAAAGACGAGAAGACCCUAUAGAGUUUUAUAUUUAUAAAUAAUGUAUUUUUACUUUAGCAUUCUAAAUUAUAUUAUUUUAUAAUAUUUGGUUGGGGUGAUUAGAAAAUUAAAUAAACUUUUCUUUAAAUUUAAACAUUUAUUUAUGGUAUUAUGAUCCUUUUAUAAAGAUUAUAAGAUAAAAUUACCUUAGGGAUAACAGCGUAAUUUUUUUUGAGAGUUCUUAUCGAAAGAAAAGAUUGCGACCUCGAUGUUGGAUUAAAUUAAAUUUUUGGUGUAGAAGCUAAAUUGAUUAGGUCUGUUCGACCUUUAAAAUUUUACAUGAUCUGAGUUCAAACCGGUGUAAGCCAGGUUGGUUUCUAUCUUUAUUUAAAUAAAAUAUUUUAGUACGAAAGGAUCAAGUAUUUAGUUUAUAAUUUUAAUAUAGAAUAUUUUU
RNAcentral lists this ribosomal RNA (1298 nucleotides) under Ceutorhynchus obstrictus. RNAcentral's name for it is "16S ribosomal RNA". The stretch from base 1057 to 1216 matches the Rfam family "Archaeal large subunit ribosomal RNA", at positions 2542 to 2701 of the family's 2987-position model. Lineage: Eukaryota; Metazoa; Arthropoda; Insecta; Coleoptera; Curculionidae. The record is from RNAcentral.